UAUGUUUCAAUAUUAAGAGCCCGUUUGGGAAGUAGCAGAAGCUACUUUUUUUAACUUUUGGAUUAUAAAAAGUCAGCAUCUAUGUGUUUGGCACUAUUUUAAAAAAAGCUUUUAACUUCCCGA
This is a non-coding RNA of Arachis ipaensis, 123 nucleotides long. NCBI's taxonomy places the organism in Eukaryota, Viridiplantae, Streptophyta, Magnoliopsida, Fabales, Fabaceae. The record is from RefSeq and is a predicted model, not a curated record.